CGAAGGGUGAAUGAGGAUCUGCCAGAGGGAGGGAGACAACAAGGAGAGAGGGACCAGGGCCCCAGACAUCUUCCUCCUAACGGCCAGCCAAGCUCUGCCUUUCCCGGCCCUCCACCCCGCUCUCACAGUUGGGGCCGGCUGGCCCGGGAGACUCUGGCGUCAUACCUGCCACCACAGGAUAGGUCUGGGAUUGAGUUUGAAUUGGGGACAGCAGCACAAUGCUUCAGAACAUAAGCGAGUUUGAGCCUUGGUUCUGUGAUGACCUGCCACAUAGCUUUAGUCUGCUUGGACCUCACCAAGACUUGAUUUUCUUACCUGUAUAACAGGGAUCAUAGAAUCUGCUUUGCAAGGCUGAUGUAAGCAUUAAAUGAGAUUUUUUUUUUUUUGAGACAGAGUCUUGCUUUUUUACCCUGGAUAGAGUACAGUGACAUCAUUGUAGCUCACUGCAACCUCGAACUCCUGGGCUCAAGCGAUCCUCCUGCCUCAGCCUCCCAAGUAUCUGGGACUUGGUAUAGACUGGUUCUCCCAGCCCUCCCCACCCCCACCAUGCCAGAGUGUACACUAUGAGGCGGUUGGCUAAUUUUAUAUUUUUAGUACAGAUGGGGUCUUGCUCUUGUUCAGACUGGCUUCUAACUCCUGAGCUCAAGCAACCUCCCUCCUUGGUCUCCCAGAGUGCUAGGAUUAUGGGCAUGAGCCACUGUGUCCAGCUGAAAUUUGAUAUAUAAAAUGCUUAGCACAAACUGAUAACAACAGAUGUACAAUAAGAAUUGUAAUAAGUAUUAUUAUCUCAUCGGUAUUAUUAUUUUAGAAUUAUGGGAAGAGUCGGAAGCUUCCAAAUUCUUGGUCUCUGUCAUAAUAUUCACAUUCUUUUCAUAGGCUUCUUGGUACACUCUCGACUAUGUCCCUAGUGAAAUAGCAACCAGGAAUGAGGUCACAUGAGGUUUCUGUUGACCACUUUCUCCCUUGUUGACUUUAUAAAAGGGAUGGCUCUGUCUAUGCCCCAUCCUCAGGCCAGUGUGUACUUGUGCUUCUCUCUUCGUUCCCAGGCCAGAGGGCCUUCCCGUGCCCGGGUGAGAGAGCACAGAGUGUUCCUUUGGCAGCACAGUCAGUCACCAAAGGUAGGAAAGGCAAGGGCUGGGACACGAGGGGCCCUUGGUAUAGGCUGGUUCUCCCAGCCACCCCCCCAUGCCAGGGGAGUGAAUGAGUGAGUUACUGAUAGAGCAAGGAAAUGGAUAAUUUAUAGGCACUGUGCUGGGCCUCAGUUUCCUCAUCUGUAGGAUGAACAGUGGGAGCAGUUCAACAGUUUCUAAAUGCUGUGUUGCAGUCAUCAAAUAGGACAUACAUAGAAGCCCCAUAUCUGAAACAGGUGGCAGUAGGCCAGUCUGAAUGAAACCAGGGCCACAAGCCUGAGCUCCACAGCCAUCCAUCUGCUUCCCUGAGCCACCUCUGAACCCUCCUUGGGCCUUGGUUAUUUCUAUGCAUUUGGAGACACUGGUCUAUGUGGUUACCGAGGUCCCCGCUAGCCUUAAGACUCUCUUAUUCCAGGAUUCCCCACAAGUGUUUGCCAGCAGGGCACAGGGGCUCUUAGCCAAGCAGGGUGCUUUGUGGGGCUUAGGGAAUGGAUCCAGGAAAUGGCUCUGGGACCCAGCAGGUGCCCAGGGGCUCAUCAGUAAGGCUUCUUUGCUCUCACAGGGCAGCUGGUGCUUGCACAUGGGUUUUGCAGGUUCACCUCACAUAGAAGGCUUCCUGCAGGCCCACAACUAUGUCCUCUUCCCUCUUGGAGCCAUUUGCUGACUCUUAGAGGAGCACCCAGGCUUUCUCCCCAGGUCUGCUGACGGCUGGCUUCCCCUGCACCCUCGUGGUUGCCACAGUUCAAGCUGAUAAAAUCGCUGACGCAGAUUGCCUGCCCAGCUGUGGGCACUGGCAGAGGGCCAGCAGCCCAGAUGGCCAUUGGCAGUGGUUCAGCUGAUUAUUGGCAUUGUUACUGUGGUCCCCACUCAGAUGUUACAGGCGUAUACACUCACCUCACUCCUAGAUCAAAUGACAGCGUGAGGUGAGCAAAGAGGGGCAGGCAGACACCACCCUAAAGAUGAUCCUACGCUGGUGACUUAGUGGGGUGUGGGCAGGAGGACAUCACCACUGUAGACUGAGGGCUCAGUGGUUCCUUCAGAGUACCAGAGCAUAUGCUGUCCUCUGGCAGGGAUCUCUCAUGUCUCUGUCAACUUUUCACAGAAGCAGCCCAUUAUAAUUCAUUUCACCUGUCCUAAGCACUGGAAAAAACAAUUCCCUAUAGCUUGUGACUGAUUGUUCUGGACUUCUCAACUCAUUCAUUUGUUCAUUCAUUCAGUGGCCCUUUGCUGAGUAUCUGUUAGGAGAGGGCACCACAUUAGAUGCUGAGGAUAAAAGCCACGAGGGAUAUAUUAACUAGCUCAAUGUAAGCAUUCCAAAUUGUAUAUGAAAUCAGCACAUUGUACCCCAUAAAUGCAUUAAUGUAUACAUGAUCUAUGUGUUUAUGACUUAAUUAAAAAAAAAAAGCGCCACCAUGUUUCAAGUCUCAUGAGACUUCCCUGUGUGCCACACCUUCUGGGGGCAAGACAUGAUUGCAAGAGGGACUUUACCUAACAAAUGCAAUCAGUGUAAUCUGGCUUAUUGUACCCUCAAUGAAUCCCCAACAAUAAAAAAAAAAAAGAAAUCUGCAUAUUGAAUGCUCUAUGGGGUGGGGCAGGCCUGGCCAGGGGCUGAGGUACAGAUCACUGAACAGCAGAAAAUCACAGAGCAGCUGUGGGCAAUUCAAAAGGAAUUAUUCUGUUUGGAAGUGGAUGAUGUUUGGAAGCCUGGGGUAGCUAGAAGAUUACUUGCAGGCUCAAGAAGAUAUUGGAUAGAAUCUGGCUUCCUCCUUGACCUGGAAAGGCCAUUCAGACAGGCAGGUGGAGAGGCAAUGGGGGACAGAGGCCAGGACAUCAGCCAGGAGAAUUUGGCUCAGUAAGAGGCAUGAUUUGAACCCAGGUUUCAGUUGGGUGAGGACAGGUGGGGCAGGGAGGAUAUUAAAAAAAAAAAGAAAUAUGCAUAUUUUUACACUUGUCUGCUAACUCAUUAGGCUACACUGUGAGAACCUAUUAGGGGUGGUUUGUGGGACAUGAGAAGCACAGAGGGGGCAAGAGAGGCCACUCAUGUCAGAGGGGCAGGGAUGGAUUCUCCGAGAGGGUGAUGUUGGAGCUGAGUCAUGCUGGCUGUGGUAUUUUUCCAGGUAGAGAAGUGGGAGGAAAGGCACGCAGUGAAGAGGGCACAUGGUGUGCAGGGCAGAGAGGUGUGAAUGAGGGCAGCAUGCUCAGGGGCAUGAGUAAUGCAGGGCCUUGGGGUGUGCAGGGUGAGUGCUGGAGAGGGACAAGGAAGUGGUGGCUGAGGUCAUCAUGUGAAGACUUCGAAGACUUCGUGCUACCACUUUAGACUUGUGAGGCCUGACCCUGCAGUCUGGGGAAGAUGCUGAUGGCAAGGGGGUGGCACUACCAGGUGCGUUGCCCUCCCUGGAAGGGUCAGGCUCAAAGCUCAAAGGUUUGGGGUGAGGGAGGCCAAGAGGGUUGGAAGAUGAGGAUGAUGCCAGGGCAAUAAAUAAAGUGUGUGUUGGGCUUGGAGCUGCAGAAGCCCAUGCCCUGAGCCCCACGAAGUGAAUUCUACCUGCUCUGAUGGCCGGACUACAGGCUUAUUAGGAGGGCACAUCUUGCUCUGACCUCUACCUGCCCAACCCUGCUCACUUC
Molecule: long non-coding RNA, 3755 nt
Organism: Nycticebus coucang (slow loris)
Lineage: Eukaryota; Metazoa; Chordata; Mammalia; Primates; Lorisidae
Exons: 3
Source: RefSeq, a predicted model, not a curated record